This 75-nucleotide transfer RNA is filed under the name Bacillota bacterium. Its description in RNAcentral is "tRNA-Thr". It matches the Rfam family "tRNA". Rfam says of the family: Transfer RNA (tRNA) molecules are approximately 80 nucleotides in length. Their secondary structure includes four short double-helical elements and three loops (D, anti-codon, and T loops). Further hydrogen bonds mediate the characteristic L-shaped molecular structure. tRNAs have two regions of fundamental functional importance: the anti-codon, which is responsible for specific mRNA codon recognition, and the 3' end, to which the tRNAs corresponding amino acid is attached (by aminoacyl-tRNA synthetases). tRNAs cope with the degeneracy of the genetic code in two manners: having more than one tRNA (with a specific anti-codon) for a particular amino acid; and 'wobble' base-pairing, i.e. permitting non-standard base-pairing at the 3rd anti-codon position. Lineage: Bacteria; Bacillati; Bacillota. RNAcentral also lists the same sequence under 1 other name. The record is from RNAcentral.
GCCGACGUAGCUCAACGGAAGAGCAGCUGAUUUGUAAUCAGCAGGUUGCGGGUUCGAGUCCCACCGUCGGCUCCA